UCCGGUUUAUCACCGGCAGUCCCCUAUGAGUCCCCGGCCGAACCGCUGGUAACAUAGGGCAAGGGUUGCGCUCGUUGCGGGACUUAACCCAACAUCUCACGACACGAGCUGACGACAGCCAUGCAGCACCUGUCCUGGUGUCCCGAAGGAGGGCCCCUGUUUCCAGGAGCUUUCACCAGGAUGUCAAGCCUAGGUAAGGUGGGGAUGACGUGUCCUUGAUAGG
RNAcentral lists this unclassified non-coding RNA (223 nucleotides) under uncultured Gemmatimonadota bacterium. RNAcentral's name for it is "uncultured Gemmatimonadetes bacterium contains 16S-23S intergenic spacer region". The record is from RNAcentral. Lineage: Bacteria; Pseudomonadati; Gemmatimonadota.